RNAcentral lists this ribosomal RNA (700 nucleotides) under Streptomyces sp. RNAcentral's name for it is "bacterial SSU rRNA". It matches the Rfam family "Bacterial small subunit ribosomal RNA", at positions 56 to 768 of the family's 1533-position model. Lineage: Bacteria; Bacillati; Actinomycetota; Actinomycetes; Kitasatosporales; Streptomycetaceae. The record is from RNAcentral.
UGUAGCUGGACCUUACGAUGACGCCCUUCGGGGUGGAUUAAUGGUAGAACGGGUGAGUAACACGUGGGCAAUCUGCCCUUCACUCUGGGACAAGCCCUGGAAACGGGGUCUAAUACCGGAUACCACUCCUGCCUGCAUGGGCGGGGGUUGAAAGCUCCGGCGGUGAAGGAUGAGCCCGCGGCCUAUCAGCUUGUUGGUGGGGUAAUGGCCCACCAAGGCGACGACGGGUAGCCGGCCUGAGAGGGCGACCGGCCACACUGGGACUGAGACACGGCCCAGACUCCUACGGGAGGCAGCAGUGGGGAAUAUUGCACAAUGGGCGAAAGCCUGAUGCACCGACGCCGCGUGAGGGAUGACGGCCUUCGGGUUGUAAACCUCUUUCAGCAGGGAAGAAGCGAAAGUGACGGUACCUGCAGAAGAAGCGCCGGCUAACUACGUGCCAGCAGCCGCGGUAAUACGUAGGGCGCAAGCGUUGUCCGGAAUUAUUGGGCGUAAAGAGCUCGUAGGCGGCUUGUCACGUCGGAUGUGAAAGCCCGAGGCUUAACCUCGGGUCUGCAUUCGAUACGGGCUAGCUAGAGUGUGGUAGGGGAGAUCGGAAUUCCUGGUGUAGCGGUGAAAUGCGCAGAUAUCAAGAGGAACACCGGUGGCGAAGGCGGAUCUCUGGGCCAUUACUGACGCUGAGGAGCGAAAGCGUGGGGAG